GCCGUGUGCGCGGGGCUCGGGAGAGCGCGGAGUCCGGCAGGCUGAGAGCAGAGCCUGAGUGCGCCGCCGGUUCAGCCGGGCAGGGUCGCCUCGCGCCAGGAUGCUGCGCCCCGCCGCCCUGUCCAGCCAGCAACCCUGGCGCGACCCCGGGAAGAAGCACAGGUUCUUUCGUCCAGUCGCCGCUGGAGGACCGAAAGUUUUGCUCGCUGCAAGUCUCUUCCUCCCAGAGUCCCAGUCACCCACCAUGCGACGUCCCAGAAGGAUCCCGGAGGCUUAGUGGGAACGAAAUCGGCUGUUUUGCACCCCUCCAUCCUUAUCCCUCAGGGUAGAGCAGGGACUCUAGAGAGUACACCUCCCAGCUACCAUCCACUUCACCCUGUCUCCUCUCUCGGUGAGCCUUGGAAUCCGGUCUCUUCGCAGAUGCCUUCAGGAGUCAGAAGCAAAGGGGAAAUGGACAUAACUCCGAGAAACCGGUUUUAUUUCACAUUUAGAUACGGUUCUUCUGGUGAAGAUAGAAGGCAAAAAAAGUGAAUUUCGCCUGGAGUCCUUGGGAGACUGAGGCAGCAGGAUUGUGAGUUACAGGCCAGCCUGGGCUACAUAGCAAGAUUCUGCCUCACAAACACAAUAUAAAAGUUUUUUGUUUUUUUGUUUUUUGUUUUUUUGCCUUCAGCACUGGAUGCUGCAGGGAUCUAUCACACACUUGCUCAGCAUUGUGGGGUCAGAGCUGCCCUUUUUGUCCCAUUUCUAGUGCCUUUUCCCUGCGCUCGGCCAUGAUGGUCUCGUGACUCCAUUCACACCCAUGUCUUACUUUCAUAGCAUGCAUUCAGACCCUGCUCUCUGUAUGACAGUGUAGCGUGUGACCUGUGGCAACAGUCAUCGUGGAGGUAGUCUUCCUAAGAAAUGUACCCUAGCCCGUGCAGAUGCAUCCUGUACACCCAGGCUCAGUAGCCACAGCCAACAGAAGUCUCCGCAAAGAUUCUCCCAAGGUGCAUUUUCCAAAUUAAAUAUCUGUGACCUGGA
RNAcentral lists this long non-coding RNA (1020 nucleotides) under Mus musculus (house mouse). Its description in RNAcentral is "RIKEN cDNA F730043M19 gene". Lineage: Eukaryota; Metazoa; Chordata; Mammalia; Rodentia; Muridae. The record is from RNAcentral.